RNAcentral lists this ribosomal RNA (253 nucleotides) under uncultured bacterium. RNAcentral's name for it is "partial 16S ribosomal RNA". It matches the Rfam family "Bacterial small subunit ribosomal RNA", at positions 524 to 776 of the family's 1533-position model. The record is from RNAcentral.
UACGUAGGCAGCAAACGUUGUUCGGAAUUACUGGGCGUAAAGAGUGUGUAGGCGGUUUCGUAAGUUUGGUGUGAAAUCUCCCGGCUUAACUGGGAGGGUGCGCCGAAAACUGCAAGACUUGAGUACUGGAGAGGAUAGCGGAAUUCCUGGUGUAGCGGUGAAAUGCGUAGAUAUCAGGAGGAACACCGGCGGUGUAGACGGCUAUCUGGACAGUAACUGACGCUGAGACGCGAAAGCGUGGGGAGCAAACAGG